RNAcentral lists this ribosomal RNA (133 nucleotides) under uncultured soil bacterium. RNAcentral describes it as "partial 16S ribosomal RNA". It matches the Rfam family "Bacterial small subunit ribosomal RNA", at positions 26 to 157 of the family's 1533-position model. The record is from RNAcentral.
AGAUUGAACGCUGGCGGCAGGCCUAACACAUGCAAGUCGAGCGGCAGCACGGGUACUUGUACCUGGUGGCGAGCGGCGGACGGGUGAGUAAUGCCUAGGAUCUGCCUGGUAGUGGGGGAUAACGCUCGGAAAC